This 253-nucleotide ribosomal RNA is filed under the name uncultured bacterium. Its description in RNAcentral is "partial 16S ribosomal RNA". It matches the Rfam family "Bacterial small subunit ribosomal RNA", at positions 524 to 776 of the family's 1533-position model. The record is from RNAcentral.
UACGUAGGGUGCAAGCGUUAUCCGGAAUUAUUGGGCGUAAAGGGCUCGUAGGCGGUUUGUCGCGUCGGGAGUGAAAACCAGGUGCUUAACACCUGGCUUGCUUUCGAUACGGGCAGACUAGAGGUAUUCAGGGGAGAACGGAAUUCCUGGUGUAGCGGUGAAAUGCGCAGAUAUCAGGAGGAACACCGGUGGCGAAGGCGGUUCUCUGGGAAUGACCUGACGCUGAGGAGCGAAAGUGUGGGGAGCGAACAGG